Bombus impatiens (common eastern bumble bee) is the source of this 1181-nucleotide long non-coding RNA. RefSeq lists it as uncharacterized. The record is from RefSeq and is a predicted model, not a curated record. The transcript is spliced from 2 exons. Lineage: Eukaryota; Metazoa; Arthropoda; Insecta; Hymenoptera; Apidae.
CAGAAGCAGUUUAUGAUAACAUACAAAAUAAACAAGAAAAAUUUAAACAUCAAUUAUGAUGUGAUACAAGAUUUGGAAGUUAUACAUAUCUGAAGAUACAAGUGAUUCAAUGUAAUCAUUUGUAGCAAUAGAAUGGAAGGAAAAACAUAUUUUAUAUUAGCUAAGAAAACAACAAAGAUAUUAACAGAAACAUUAAUAUACAUAUAAGAAGAAUAUAGAAAUAAAUAUAUAAAGAUGAUUAUAUAGCUCAAAAGAAGUCAGUUUUAAAGUUAGGAAGAAAAUCAACAUACGAUAUGAUAUUUAAAGAUGACUAUUUCAAUAUUUGUGGUAAACAUAUUAGCACAAAGUAGUAAACUUGGUAUAAAAGAACAAGAAAUAAUAUGUAGUAAGAAUUUAUACCAACAGAUACAUCAAAACAUUUUUUACAGUUUAGAUUUAUGCAACAAAAUUUGAGUGUAUCUAAUAAUUAUGAUAAAAUAAUAUUUGUAUACAUUGAUUGUAAGAAUAACGAAGACUAUGUUAGAAUAAUAACUCACUAAAAGCUUUUAAGUUAAAUGUUUUUAUCUUCUUUAAGAUAUUAAAUAUAAGAUAUGCCAAGUAUAUACACUCUCUCAUAUGAAUAUGAAUAUUUAAAAAUGAAUUAAGUUGUGUUAAAUUAACUUCAUUUAUAAUUAUUCAAUACAACAAGAAAUAUGUAGUUUGUCUUCAUAAUUGUUCAGUAGAAGUAUUUUUCUUAAUAUUUUUUUACAUACUACAAAUGAACUAAGGCCUCCAUUGUAGAAUUUUAGAAAACACUACAUUUAUGAAAAAAACUGAAAGAUUUCUUUUAAUUAAACUUUUUGUGAUUUUAGUUUAUAUUACACCAUUUAAUUUUUUUUAAAUAACUAACAAAAAUGACAAUCUACGUAGACAAUAGUAACAGUAAUAUUCAUACAAAAGUUUCUAUCACACACGCAGGCAACUAGAACUACACUGAAACGAUGAGGCGGGAAGCGAUUCUCAAGAGUCGAUAUAUCGAAUCAGUACCGCGCGCAAUAUUUGAAUUUGAACUGAUAAACGCAGAAAAAUUGAACUACUAUUUAUUAACAAAAGUGUAUAUUGUACAUUUAAUUAUUUAGAUUAAUAAAUUACUAUUAGCAAAAUUAUAUUAGAAUUUGAAGUGUGUGAAAAGACAAAGAAUA